CGUAGUGUUUCAUCGUAGAAAAACAUAAUGACGACUUCCAGAACAGUGGAUAUUCGAAUUAAGAGUCAAAAUUGAGUUCCUUGUAUGAAGAACUUUAUUAUGAAUUUCACAAGGAUGUACAUCGUUUGGAACUUUAACCGUUAAAAACUACGACUUUGGGA
Molecule: long non-coding RNA, 161 nt
Organism: Nomia melanderi (Alkali bee)
Lineage: Eukaryota; Metazoa; Arthropoda; Insecta; Hymenoptera; Halictidae
Source: RefSeq, a predicted model, not a curated record